This 492-nucleotide ribosomal RNA is filed under the name uncultured bacterium. RNAcentral's name for it is "partial 16S ribosomal RNA". It matches the Rfam family "Bacterial small subunit ribosomal RNA", at positions 29 to 507 of the family's 1533-position model. The record is from RNAcentral.
AGUGAACGCUGGCGGUAGGCCUAACACAUGCAAGUCGAACGGCAGCACAGUAAGAGCUUGCUCUUACGGGUGGCGAGUGGCGGACGGGUGAGGAAUACAUCGGAAUCUACUUUUUCGUGGGUGAUAACGUAGGGAAACUUACGCUAAUACCGCAUACGACCUACGGGUGAAAGCAGUGGAUCUUCGGACCUUUCGCGAUUGAAUGAGCCGAUGUCGGAUUAGCUAGUUGGCUGGGUAAAGGCCCACCAAGGCGACGAUCCGUAGCUGGUCUGAGAGGAUGAUCAGCCACACUGGAACUGAGACACGGUCCAGACUCCUACGGGAGGCAGCAGUGGGGAAUAUUGGACAAUGGGCGCAAGCCUGAUCCAGCAAUACCGCGUGGGUGAAGAAGGCCUUCGGGUUGUAAAGCCCUUUUGUUGGGAAAGAAAAGAAGCAGGUUAAUACCCCGCUGUUUUGACGGUACCCAAAGAAUAAGCACCGGCUAACUUCGUG